Molecule: ribosomal RNA, 253 nt
Filed under: uncultured bacterium
Lineage: Bacteria
Description: partial 16S ribosomal RNA
Rfam family: Bacterial small subunit ribosomal RNA
Source: RNAcentral
UACAGAGGUGGCAAGCGUUGUUCGGAAUUACUGGGCGUAAAGGGCGCGUAGGCGGUCUUGUCAGUCCCUUGUGAAAUCCCCCGGCUCAACUGGGGAACUGCACGGGAAACAGCAGGGCUUGAGUUCGGGAGAGGGAAGCGGAAUUCCGGGUGUAGCGGUGAAAUGCGUAGAUAUCCGGAGGAACACCGGUGGCGAAGGCGGCUUCCUGGACCGAUACUGACGCUGAGGCACGAAAGCGUGGGGAGCAAACAGG